AUUGAACGCUGGCGGCAGGCCUAACACAUGCAAGUCGAGCGGAAACGAGUUAUCUGAACCUUCGGGGGACGAUAACGGCGUCGAGCGGCGGACGGGUGAGUAAUGCCUAGGAAAUUGCCCUGAUGUGGGGGAAUAACCAUUGGAAACGAUGGCUAAUACCGCAUGAUGCCUACGGGCCAAAGAGGGGGACCUUCGGGCCUCUCGCGUCAGGAUAUGCCUAGGUGGGAUUAGCUAGUUGGUGAGGUAAGGGCUCACCAAGGCGACGAUCCCUAGCUGGUCUGAGAGGAUGAUCAGCCACACUGGAACUGAGACACGGUCCAGACUCCUACGGGAGGCAGCAGUGGGGAAUAUUGCACAAUGGGCGCAAGCCUGAUGCAGCCAUGCCGCGUGUAUGAAGAAGGCCUUCGGGUUGUAAAGUACUUUCAGUCGUGAGGAAGGUGGUGUAGUUAAUAGCUGCAUUAUUUGACGUUAGCGACAGAAGAAGCACCGGCUAACUCCGUGCCAGCAGCCGCGGUAAUACGGAGGGUGCGAGCGUUAAUCGGAAUUACUGGGCGUAAAGCGCAUGCAGGUGGUUUGUUAAGUCAGAUGUGAAAGCCCGGGGCUCAACCUCGGAAUAGCAUUUGAAACUGGCAGACUAGAGUACUGUAGAGGGGGGUAGAAUUUCAGGUGUAGCGGUGAAAUGCGUAGAGAUCUGAAGGAAUACCGGUGGCGAAGGCGGCCCCCUGGACAGAUACUGACACUCAGAUGCGAAAGCGUGGGGAGCAAACAGGAUUAGAUACCCUGGUAGUCCACGCCGUAAACGAUGUCUACUUGGAGGUUGUGGCCUUGAGCCGUGGCUUUCGGAGCUAACGCGUUAAGUAGACCGCCUGGGGAGUACGGUCGCAAGAUUAAAACUCAAAUGAAUUGACGGGGGCCCGCACAAGCGGUGGAGCAUGUGGUUUAAUUCGAUGCAACGCGAAGAACCUUACCUACUCUUGACAUCCAGAGAACUUUCCAGAGAUGGAUUGGUGCCUUCGGGAACUCUGAGACAGGUGCUGCAUGGCUGUCGUCAGCUCGUGUUGUGAAAUGUUGGGUUAAGUCCCGCAACGAGCGCAACCCUUAUCCUUGUUUGCCAGCGAGUAAUGUCGGGAACUCCAGGGAGACUGCCGGUGAUAAACCGGAGGAAGGUGGGGACGACGUCAAGUCAUCAUGGCCCUUACGAGUAGGGCUACACACGUGCUACAAUGGCGCAUACAGAGGGCGGCCAACUUGCGAAAGUGAGCGAAUCCCAAAAAGUGCGUCGUAGUCCGGAUUGGAGUCUGCAACUCGACUCCAUGAAGUCGGAAUCGCUAGUAAUCGUGGAUCAGAAUGCCACGGUGAAUACGUUCCCGGGCCU
RNAcentral lists this ribosomal RNA (1375 nucleotides) under uncultured bacterium. Its description in RNAcentral is "bacterial SSU rRNA". It matches the Rfam family "Bacterial small subunit ribosomal RNA", at positions 28 to 1381 of the family's 1533-position model. The record is from RNAcentral.